CCCCUCUGCUGCAGGUCUGCUGGAGUUUGCUGGAGGUCCACUCCAGACCCUGUUUGUCUGUGUAUCACCAGCGGAGACUGCAGAACAGCAAAGGUUGCUGCCUGCUCCUUCCUCUGAAAGCUUCAUCCCAGAGGUACAACUAAGACCUCUGGAUAUUAUAAAACAAACAGAGCUAACCCACCUCAGAAGAAUGUCUAACAGAAUUUCUCUAAUCAGAAAGGCAACGAUAAAAGAAGACACCUUGGACCAUCAGGAAGAAAGAGCAUGGGACGCUUGUCAUUACAUUGAGCCCAGCUGAAUAAUCUACGCUGAGCUGCCCAUCUCAAGAUUCUUAGUUUAACCAUAUCCACAAAGUUCCUUUUGCCAUGUAAGGUAACAUAUCUAAAGAUUCUAGAGAUUAAGAUGUGGACAUAUUUGAGGGGGCAUUAUUCUGCUUAUCACACCAGCAUUACAUGUUUGGAGCUAAACUGUGAAGAGUUGGUGUGUAUAAGAGGCCGGAAACACAAAUCCUUCAAAACACAUCUCAGGAUUAUAGUUUAGCUAAAAUUACAACACAUUAUGCAGUAACAUUCCUGCAUAUCUUGACUUGGGGAUGUAAUUCAAGGAAUUGAAGCCUUUGCCCUGGCAGAGCAUCAAGGUCAUGGGAUGCCAAGCACUGGUGAGGACUGGAGAUCACAAGAACCAUCUUCAUUGCUGGUGGAGUGGGAAUCAAUUCAUUUGGAGACACAAGUUGGCAAUUAAAAAAAGUGUGAAGAUGCAUAUUUUAGCCUGCUCCAGCCGCCAUAGCAGAAUACCAUAGGCUGGGUGUCUCAAACAACAGAAAAUAUUUUUUUCAUAGUUAAAUAGUUAAUUUCUAGAGGUUGGAAGUUGAAGAUCAAGGUUCCAGUGGGGUUUGGUUUCUGGUGAGGGCCUUCUUUCUGGCUUGGAAGUGGCCAUUUUGUCCUUAUAUGGCCUUUUUUCUGAGUGUACUCAGAGAGAGAGAACAUGCAUGGUAUCUGAUGUCUUCUCUUAUAAAGACACUAGUCUUUGGUAGGGUUCCACUGUUAUGACCAAAUCAUUUUAUCUUAAUUACCUCCUUACAGGUUCUAUCUCCAAAUACAGUCAUGUUGGGGGUUAAGGAUUCAAUAUAUGACAUGAAGGGGAACACAUAAUUUGGUCCACAGCAAUCCACAUACACUAAGACCCAGAAGUUCUAGAAACAUUUCCUAGAGAAAUUCUUGUGCACGUACACAAAGAGAUGUGUAGAAAGAAUAUUCACUGUUGCAUUAUUUAUAAUAGCAACAUGAAAAAAAUUUAGAUAACCACCAUUAGGAAAUGGAGAAAGAAAUUGUAAAAUCAUCAAACAAUAAAGUAAUACACAGUAGUUAAAAGAGCAAACAAGAACCACAUAUUGUGGCUCUGUCAGCAUGAAUAAAUCUUAGAAAUAAAAUUUGAGUAUGAAAAUCAAACUACAGAAAGUAUACACAGAACAUGAUACCAUUAAAGUGAGAAAGUAACUAAGCAGUAGGUCUUAGUUUCUUAUGGAUAUACUCAUAUGAAUGAAACAUAUGUUAAAAAUAUGACAAUAUGGAUGGAAAGGAUGAACCUCAAUUCAGGCUAGUGGCUGAUUUAGAGAAGGAGGAAGGGCAGUAACAGGAUAGGUGACUUUAAUUUUGUCUGUAAUAUUUUAUUCUCAAGUUAAAAGGAUCUGAGGUAAAUAUGGCAAAGUAAUAACAUCUACUAAAGGGAUAGUGGGUACAUGGUAAUUUGAUAUAUAAUUUCUGUUCCUUGUGUUUGCAGUUUUCAUAAUGAACACCAAAUAAGCAAACAAAUGUUUAAAAGGCAAAAUGUCCCUGAGAGUUAGAGAGAUCUAGGUCCCAACUGAGUUCCCAUUAUUCACUAGAUAUAGGUCCUUGGGCAAGUUACCUAACCUCCUUAAGUUGCUCCUAUUUAUGUAUUUUCAUCUAUACCUACCUCUUGGGAAUAUUGUGAAAUUCAACAGCGCUCAUGUAAAGCAUGUGGCACCCAGCAUACAAAACAAUGCUAGUUCCCUUUCUUACAUCAAGUACUGUUUAGUAACAUUGAUUUAAACUCCAUGUCUUUGUCUAAACUAAAAGAAAGCUCUGAGUGGUUGUAAUGAGACAGAAUAAUUUUCCUGUUUCCCUUAUUGUGACCUUUCUUUCUUUUUUUUUUAACCCCUACCUUGUCUCAGGUAUUUAAAUGUGUGUGUGCAUGCACAAACACAUAAGCAGUACUUCACAAGUGCUUUAGAGCAGAGGCUAAACUUUUGGAGGUUGGGAAAAUGGUCUCUUUAAUGUCAUGUAAGUGUGAAGCAUCUUUUCACUUACAGGCUUAAAAGAACUAUAUUGUAGCAAAACUAGAAAUCAGUUAAAGUUUUUGUGUUGAGACAGUACUUGCUGAUUGAAUUCUCAUGGUGUAUGUGUUCUUUUUCUUUUUCUUUCUUUCUUUUUUUGAGCUGGAGUCUUGCUAUGUUGCCCAGGCUGAUCUCAAACUCCUGAACUCAGUCAAUGCUGCUUCAGCUUCCUGAGUAGCUUAUUACAGAACUCAAGAAGCACAGUUUGAAAACCACAGAAUGAGUGGAAUGCAAGCCUCUGCUUCUUCAGGUGAGGAUUCAGACCAGGAUACAGAACCAAUCAGAGGCCUGUCAGUCCAGAAGUCCUUCCAGAACACCAGCAGUCCUGCAUUCAUCCAUGUGCUGACCACAGUGCCCACUAGAGCUCCCCGUGCAGUCAGAGAUUCACUGAAGCCUCUGUCAGACGUCAUCAUGAAAUGUACCCUGAAAAGACUCUUGCACAGGACACCCUGCUGGCAACACGUGGGGUGAAGGGUGCAGAGGUUGCCUUCUCCAGGGAAUUAUAUUCUAAGAUGUACAUUUCCAUCUUGGCAAGCUCAGAGACAAACACCCAGGUACUGUGCUCUGAAGCAGUUGAAUUAGUAAACUAAGAGGAAUAACAUCUUGGGGAGCAUUAGUGCUGGUGCUCUUUGUGCAGUGGGACAUGGAAAGUGUGAGCGGCAGGACAGAUCCUCAGCAGGGUUGAGAAGGAGCUACCUGGACUUCUGCAUGUAUGGGAGUUUUAGUAACUUAAUAGCUCAGCUUUGCCUUGCGAAAAUUCUAUGUAUCUGCACCCAGAUCUUUCAGGUCUAGAAACAGAUAGAUAUAAAACAUACAAAGUAUAUAUGUACACAUUAUAUAUAUAUAUGUAUUAUAUAUAAAGUAUAUACACA
RNAcentral lists this long non-coding RNA (3225 nucleotides) under Homo sapiens (human). Its description in RNAcentral is "HSALNT0078983". Lineage: Eukaryota; Metazoa; Chordata; Mammalia; Primates; Hominidae. The record is from RNAcentral.